RNAcentral lists this microRNA precursor (86 nucleotides) under Marmota monax (woodchuck). Lineage: Eukaryota; Metazoa; Chordata; Mammalia; Rodentia; Sciuridae. The record is from RNAcentral.
GUGUAUGUGUGUGUGUGUGUGUGUAUGUAUGUGUGUGUAUAUAUAUAUAUAUACACACAUACAUACAUACACACACACACACACAC